GCCCUUAUAGUUUAGUGGCUAUAACGUCUCACUCGUACGUGGGGAUGAGAAGGUCCUGCGUUCGACUCGCAGUGGGGGCA
Molecule: non-coding RNA, 80 nt
Organism: Pneumocystis jirovecii RU7
Lineage: Eukaryota; Fungi; Ascomycota; Pneumocystomycetes; Pneumocystales; Pneumocystaceae
Source: the annotation of a RefSeq genome assembly